Camelus dromedarius (Arabian camel) is the source of this 400-nucleotide long non-coding RNA. RefSeq lists it as uncharacterized. The transcript has 3 exons. Lineage: Eukaryota; Metazoa; Chordata; Mammalia; Artiodactyla; Camelidae. The record is from RefSeq and is a predicted model, not a curated record.
ACGGAGGCGCCCCCGGAAGCUCCCUCUUUUCUAGCCUUGGCUCUGCCCUGACCCCGCGUGACUCCGUUCCUCUCCUUCGGCCCUUGACGUUUUAUAAGGGUGGCCGGAAGACCUCAGAGAAGCCAUGGCAACAAAGGGCCUUGUGCUCAGUAUAGCAGAGCAUCCUGCUUUUGUCCGAUCCAGCCCAAUGCGUCAGUCUCUGCAAACAACAAAAGAUGUGGCACCCAGCUGCCUGUCCCUGCCCCCACCAGAGCAUCAAGAAAGGGUGAGGACUCUCUGACUGGAACCAAGCUAGGAGAGCAGCAGACAGAGCUCUGACAUGGAGUGCCAGCAGUGAUCUUUUAUCUUUGAAGAUAGUAGCUGCAUAAAGAAUGAUGAAGCAGAAAAAUAUUAGAAGCCU